CGCGUGCCAGCCGAAAGAGAGCGAGUGAAGAAAAACAUAAAAAAAUAAAAAUAAGCUCCGCCUCUGCCUCUCUCCUCCCUCGCGCUCGAUUCACACCGCACCUCGCAGCGGUUCCUCCUCCUCCUCCCGGCUGCUUCCUCCUCAAUCCCCCCAAUCCGCCGGCCGAGGAAUUCGCCCGUGCGCCAGGGCUCCCGGAUGACCCCCGCCCCGACCCGCCGCUCCCCCUGCUGCUGCUUCGCCUCCUCGCUCAACCCCCCCGGAGCCGCCGCCGCCCGCUAGUCCCUCGCCGGGCGAGCAGAAGAUCCGGUUUUGGCCCCCGCCUCCGCCGCCGCCGCCGCCGCCGUCGUCUUUCUGCGGAGAGCUGAUCGCGGGUGGGGAGCGCGCCGAGCUCGAGGCUCCAAAACUGAAGAAAUUGGUUGUAUGUGGUAGCUUGUGGCAGCAAAAAGGAAUGCCCUUUCCCCCCUUCUUUCUUGCUCUGUAGAAAUGAUUUGCCCCAUGAACAUAAAGGAGCAAAGCCGCAGCCUUGCCUGCUAAGGUUGCUUCAUCAUCGUUGAUGCCGCCUUUCGGGACAACACCGCCCGUUCGUUCCCUCGUUUUCUCACUGGACGAGGCUUUCUUGUUGGAUUAUUAGUAUUAUUACUAUUAUAGUCGUGCAACUUUUCCGCCAUUUUUCCUCGUGAGGCGGCCACUAACUCUGCAGGAAUAAUAAUAGUCUUGCAACUUUUCCACCAUUAUUUCUCCUGUUGACGCAGCCACUAACCCUGCAGGAAAACAGGGUUGCCAGAUACAGUUACCCAUAUCUCUUGUUAAUAAUCCGUGUUUUGUUAUUACCAGUUUAGAUAUAUCUUUUUUUAGCGGACAGCAGUAGGUGAGGCCCUCAUUUCGCAAUCCACACCGAGCACGUCAGCCGUUCGUAUCAGAGAAAUUAAGGUGGAUAUCGCCUGCAGUUAGUUCGCUCUCCCUGAACGGCCUCUCGGGCAUAAUCGGCAGUUAAGACGCAAUCCACUAUUUUAAGGCUGCUACAGAAAGCGUCUGAUUGGAUUAUGGGACUGUUCCAGCUUUUCUUGUUUUCAUAACGUGUGAUGGGAGUAAUCAUAUUGGGUUGUUCAAUCAGCCUUUGAUUUGAUCUUGCAUGUUAUUAGGUUGUUGAUUUGGUUGCUUAGACUGAUAAUAAGUUGUGCUAAUAAUAUCUUAUAAUGUGGUAGUGGUCCCAGGAGGGGGAGGAUUGCGUACUAAUCUGUUGGUUUUCUCCGAUCUGUCGUAAUCGUGACUAGUGUAUCGAACACAUUUAGUGAGGGUGCUCCUAACGUGACGGCUCGGAUCAUUCAUUUAUGUCGAGUCUCUCACCAGUCCUUGACUUUGUUGCAGCCGCGCAAAAUUAGCCGUGUAUCGCGCAUUUCCUGUUCUUCUUUUGGUGUCCAUUCCCUUAUGCUAAAAUCACUGAAUCUACUUGGUAGGGGCAGUGCUUUUGACAGAGAAUUUGAGCCCCACGGAUGAGCAUGUGUGAGAAAGAUCAAAAUUUCCACUGGGCCUACGACCUUUUCCAUGACCCCUUUGCCGCUCCCAACAGCUACUACGGACAUCCUAAUGGUUACAGUGACAGCAGCUAUUGUGACUACAAUUAUGCUAGAGAUGCAUCGCAUCCCGAUGAGACAUAUUUGCAUUCCUCCGCACUUACGUGUGAUAUGUACAACCCACAAGUAGGCAUGUACCAUCCUGGUAGUGAAAAUAUCCAUGGAAAUGUUGGCGGGCAGGAGCAUGAGGCAGUCUACGUAGAUCCGUCUAGUUCCUCUUCAUACCCUGAGAGUGACGAUUGUUUUGAAAUGGAGGAAGAAGUAGGGAAGAGAUUUUACCCCAUGGUCCCAGUUCCCCAUGUCCCUAAAAUUAAUGGUGAAAUUCCAUCACUCGACGAAGCCACCAUGGACCAUGAAAGGCUGUCAGACAGGUUGAGGCUCUAUGAACUAACUGAGAACAAGGUGAAAGGUGAUGGCAAUUGUCAGUUCCGUGCACUAUCAGAUCAGCUGUACCAAACUCCGGACCACCAUGAGUUUGUGAGGGAGCAGAUAAUUAGCCAGGUAAUCAACAGUGGUAAUCUUUCUUUCGUGAUCCUUAGUUUCAUUCUUUGUUUUCACACUUUCAUCUUUCGUCUGAUAAAUAAUCGGUUCCAGCUUAAAAGUAACCGGGAAGCCUAUGAUGGAUACGUCCCCAUGGCAUAUGAUGAGUAUCUGGAGAAAGUAUCACGAAAUGGUGAAUGGGGUGACCAUGUGACUUUACAGGCUGCUGCUGACAAGUACGGAGUGAAGAUUUUCGUCAUGACCUCGUUCAAGGAUACGUGCUACAUCGAGAUCCAACCCAAGGUUCAGAAGUCCAACAAGGGUAUGCAGAUGAUUCAUUUUCUUUACAGUUCCAAGUGGGGUUGGUUUUGGCACUUGACAAUGUACUCUGCUAUUUUUUUCUUCUCUGGUUUCAGUGGUGCUGUUGAGCUUUUGGGCGGAGGUUCACUACAACUCGAUAUUUCCACAGAACGGUGAGUAGCAUGCCUUGCCUGCCAUUGGCAUACAUGCAAUGCAUGUCCAGUCCCCGCCGCAAACACGCUCCGAGGUUGCAUCACACGGCGAAGAAGAGGAGAUGGUGGCCCUUCUCGCAGCACCACCAUUGAUGAGGCUCUCUUCCCCCUCCUCGGCGCGUGUACUCUGACGGCGUUCCGGCGUGCAAAGCACUCUUGCUUCUCCACCGAGAUGGAUGGCCCCGGGGCAACGCGCUCCUGGUCGUCCUGGGAGGGGCCGUCGUGGCGUGCGCUCGCUCUGACAGGAGGAGAGAAAAGAAAAAAGGCGUUAUGGUUGUCUGAGAUUAUAUUAUAGAUACAUGGAAUGGAAGGAAUAAUGAACAUGCGACCUGUCCCGUAUAUAGUUUUGGGUUGCAUUGCAGGCUCUGUUAUGUAUUUACAUACAAAAUUUUGCCGGAAUGAGGCUACAUACAGUUAAUCAUUCAUUUGGAAUACAAAUGAUAUUGAUGGUGAUACUACUAAUAAUAACUGGGUGGAGGCAGUGUUAAAGAA
Triticum aestivum (bread wheat) is the source of this 3058-nucleotide RNA transcript. It is a transcript of the gene named OVARIAN TUMOR DOMAIN-containing deubiquitinating enzyme 12, with no coding region annotated. The record is from RefSeq and is a predicted model, not a curated record. Lineage: Eukaryota; Viridiplantae; Streptophyta; Magnoliopsida; Poales; Poaceae. The transcript is spliced from 10 exons.